AUGGUGUCCCCAUCACAGCUCCUUGGGCUUCUGCUCCUCUGGGAUCUAGCCUCCAGUGGUGAGAUUGUGCUGACCCAGUCUCCAGCCUUCCUGUCUGGGACUCCAGGGGAGAAAGCCACCAUCACCUGACGGGCCAAUCAGGGCAUUAGCAACUACUUACACUGGUACCAGCAGAAGCCAAAUCAACCUCCAAAGCCCACUAUAAAGUAUGUUUCCGAGUCCAUUUCGGGGGUCCCAGCACGAUUCAGUGGCAGUCGAUCUGGGACAGAUUUCACACUCACCAUCAGUAGGCCAGAAGCUGAAGAUGCUGCAACUUAUUACUGUCAGCAUAGCUAUUAUCAUCUUUACACCAUGUUACAACCUAGAACAAAAACUUGCUCAGCAAUGGUGAACAGAGAAACUGGGCAAAAUCAUGCACUUCUUCUGAUUCUUGCAGGUGCAGUUGGGGCAAUGAGCUCACCAAUACCACAAGUCUGGCUCACCCCCAACAGAGAUGAAUCCCAAGAGGGACUGUCUCAAAUCCUCCUUUCAUCUUCACCCACAGUAAUUCUUCACACUAAGUGA
Non-coding RNA from Equus quagga, 564 nucleotides. The record is from the annotation of a RefSeq genome assembly. Lineage: Eukaryota; Metazoa; Chordata; Mammalia; Perissodactyla; Equidae.